CGGGCAACUGGGGAUAAUACCCUAUAGGAUAUUGAUGCUGGAAUGCGCGAUAUCUGAAAGUUGAGGCGCCGCAGGAUGGGUCUGCGGCCGAUUAGGUAGUUGUUGGGGUAACGGCCCAACAAGCCUGUAAUCGGUACGGGUUGUGGGAGCAAGAGCCCGGAGAUGGAUUCUGAGACAUGAAUCCAGGCCCUACGGGGCGCAGCAGGCGCGAAAACUUUACAAUGCCGGCAACGGCGAUAAGGGAACCUCGAGUGCCAGGUUACAAAUCUGGCUGUCGUGAUGCCUAAAAAGCAUUGCAUAGCAAGGGCCGGGCAAGACCGGUGCCAGCCGCCGCGGUAACA
RNAcentral lists this ribosomal RNA (341 nucleotides) under uncultured archaeon. RNAcentral's name for it is "partial 16S ribosomal RNA". It matches the Rfam family "Archaeal small subunit ribosomal RNA", at positions 133 to 475 of the family's 1478-position model. The record is from RNAcentral.